RNAcentral lists this ribosomal RNA (253 nucleotides) under uncultured bacterium. RNAcentral describes it as "partial 16S ribosomal RNA". It matches the Rfam family "Bacterial small subunit ribosomal RNA", at positions 524 to 776 of the family's 1533-position model. The record is from RNAcentral.
GACGGAGGAUGCAAGCGUUAUCCGGAAUGAUUGGGCGUAAAGCGUCCGCAGGUGGCAGUUCAAGUCUGCUGUCAAAGACCGGGGCUUAACUUCGGAAAGGCAGUGGAAACUGAACAGCUAGAGUAUGGUAGGGGCAGAGGGAAUUCCUGGUGUAGCGGUGAAAUGCGUAGAGAUCAGGAAGAACAUCGGUGGCGAAGGCGCUCUGCUGGACCAUAACUGACACUGAGGUGCGAAAGCUAGGGGAGCAAACGGG